This 257-nucleotide ribosomal RNA is filed under the name uncultured prokaryote. Its description in RNAcentral is "partial 16S ribosomal RNA". It matches the Rfam family "Bacterial small subunit ribosomal RNA", at positions 524 to 780 of the family's 1533-position model. The record is from RNAcentral.
UACGGAGGAUACAAGCGUUAUCCGGAUUUAUUGGGUUUAAAGGGUGCGCAGGUUGUUUGAUAAGUCAGUGGUGAAAGUCUGUCGCUUAACGGUAGGAUUGCCAUUGAUACUGUUGGACUUGAAUAUGGAUGAGGUAGGCGGAAUGUGUAGUGUAGCGGUGAAAUGCAUAGAUAUUACACAGAACACCGAUUGCGAAGGCAGCUUACUAAUCCAUCAUUGACGCUGAGGCACGAAAGCGUGGGGAUCAAACAGGAUUA